UCUCGCUUCAAAGUCUGGAGUUACAAGACGUUGCCACAGCCGUACCCUUCAGACAAAGCAGCAGCAAUUUACAACACCUGGCCGUGUGCAGGAUCAUAUCAUCAUCGGUGUAUCUCAUAUACCAGUGGAGUAAUGGAAAACCCUCAAACCUCAGCCGUCAGUGCUCGAGUCAAGCAAGUGGAAUCAUUUCAGAUGGGAGGAGAUCCUUAUCGUCACUGAAGGUCCAAGCUCAACAUGUGAAGUGUUUAUGUGGGGUUCUCAGCAAAACUUCUUCCAGCAGACACAGUCCAUCCCAUUUACCGGCCUCUUUUCAGUCCACCCCUUUACCCCUCCUUCCGGAAUAUUUCAGGAGAGCUGUUUUUCCAGCCUGGUGUCCGUGAGCUAGAAAUAGCAGUGAAUGUAAUUAAUGAUGAUGUUCCGGAGGAGGAAGAACAUUUUCGUGUCAGCCUCAGGAACCCCAAAGGAGGGGCAGAAAUAGGCUUCCGUGGUCAAGUGACAUUGUUCAUUCCAGCUAAUGAUGAUGCUUAUGGGAUUAUAGGCUUUACACAGAACUCUUUGAUGCAGGAGGUGGAUGAUCUGGAGGAUGAUAACCCUGUCUCUCUGAGUAUUUAGAGGACAAGAGGCAGGUACAGUAUGGGCAGACUAACUGUACACUGGAGCGCCCUAUGGUAGCCUGGAUGACAUUUUU
This is a long non-coding RNA of Cyprinus carpio (common carp), 688 nucleotides long. RefSeq lists it as uncharacterized. Lineage: Eukaryota; Metazoa; Chordata; Actinopteri; Cypriniformes; Cyprinidae. The record is from RefSeq and is a predicted model, not a curated record. The transcript has 4 exons.